This 803-nucleotide long non-coding RNA is filed under the name Homo sapiens (human). Its description in RNAcentral is "HSALNT0254711". The record is from RNAcentral. Lineage: Eukaryota; Metazoa; Chordata; Mammalia; Primates; Hominidae.
CCAGACCAGCCUGGCCAAUAUGGUGAAUCCCUGUCUCUACUAAAAAUACAAAAAUUAGCCAGUUGUGGUGGCACACAUCUGUAGUCCCAGCUACUCGGGAGGCUGAGGCAGGAGAAUUGCUUGAACCUGGGAGGUGGAGGCAGUGAGCCGAGAUUGCACCACUGCACUCCAGCCUGGGCGACAGAGUGAGGCUCCGUCUAAAAACAAAACAAAAAGAUGUGUCCCUUGUCACAACCAGCAUUCCACUCACCUCAUUGGCCAGAACACGGUCACCUGAUCACACCUGGCUGCAAGGGUUGCUGGGAAAUGUAGUCUUUCAUAUUUGCAAGCGUAGCCAGGUGUGGUGGCAGGCACCUGUAAUCGCAGCUACUUGGAAGGCCGAGGUGGGAGAAUCGCUUGAACCCGGGAGGCAGAGGUUGCAGUCAGCCAGGAUCAUGCCAUUGUACUCCAGCCUGGGCAACAGAGCCAGACUCCAUCUCAAAAAAAAAAAAAAAAAAAAAAAAAAAAAGCCAAGGCGUGAAUUUCUCCUCCUUCUCCUCUUCCAUAACCUGCUGUGGCUCCCCAUUGCCAGGCAGUGUAGAGUUCUGAAUACCUUGUGCUGGAAGCUGAAGCCCUUCCUGCCCCAGCCCUGAAUCACCUCUCCAACUUCAGCCCCUCCUGCUCCUGCUGCAGCCCCCAAAACACUUGCAUUUUCUCCUAAACUCAUGGGCUCUUCCCAGCACCCAGGCCUUUGUUUACCCCUUCUGUCUGAUCUUCCCUCUCACCCUUCAAGAAACUGCUUAGCCUCCUCCAGGAAGCCCUUC